CGGGCACGUGGUCUCAUACAUGCCCUACGGACCUACCUGUGUUCUGUACGCCGCUACCCAGGGAGGCUCAACUGUCCCAUUCUGACCAACUAGGCAGGCAUCAUCACUAUGCAAGCUGCAAUGGCUCCCCUGUUCCUCUGCUUCGUGUGUUGAUGUCUGAUACUGAACCAACUACACAACACGGACCAACUCCAGUUCUUCUUUCCAUUGCCUUGCUCAGGGGUACAGGCAGAGUAUUAACCCUAACAUUCAUGCCUUAUUGAUGUCGCAUUGGUGACUUAAUAACGGAAGAAGAUGAAGAGGAA
Molecule: long non-coding RNA, 305 nt
Organism: Lampris incognitus (smalleye Pacific opah)
Lineage: Eukaryota; Metazoa; Chordata; Actinopteri; Lampriformes; Lampridae
Exons: 3
Source: RefSeq, a predicted model, not a curated record